GACGAACGCUGGCGGCGUGCUUAACACAUGCAAGUCGAACGGAAAGGCCCUGCUUUUGUGGGGUGCUCGAGUGGCGAACGGGUGAGUAACACGUGAGUAACCUGCCCUUGACUUUGGGAUAACUUCAGGAAACUGGGGCUAAUACCGGAUAGGAGCUCCUGCUGCAUGGUGGGGGUUGGAAAGUUUCGGUGGUUGGGGAUGGACUCGCGGCUUAUCAGCUUGUUGGUGGGGUAGUGGCUUACCAAGGCUUUGACGGGUAGCCGGCCUGAGCGGGUGACCGGCCACAUUGGGACUGAGAUACGGCCCAGACCCCUACGGGAGGCAGCAGUGGGGAAUAUUGAACAAUGGGCGGAAGCCAGAUGUAGCAACGCCGCGUGCGGGAUGACGGCCUUCGGGUUGUAAACCGCUUUCGCCUGUGACGAAGCGUGAGUGACGGUAAUGGGUAAAGAAGCACCGGCUAACUACGUG
This 468-nucleotide ribosomal RNA is filed under the name uncultured bacterium. RNAcentral describes it as "partial 16S ribosomal RNA". It matches the Rfam family "Bacterial small subunit ribosomal RNA", at positions 28 to 507 of the family's 1533-position model. The record is from RNAcentral.